Molecule: ribosomal RNA, 253 nt
Filed under: uncultured bacterium
Lineage: Bacteria
Description: partial 16S ribosomal RNA
Rfam family: Bacterial small subunit ribosomal RNA
Source: RNAcentral
UACAGAGGUGGCAAGCGUUGUUCGGAAUUACUGGGCGUAAAGGGCGCGUAGGCGGUCUUGUAAGUCUUGUGUGAAAUCCCUCGGCUUAACUGAGGAACUGCACGAGAUACUGCGAGACUUGAGAUCGGGAGAGGGAAGCGGAAUUCCGGGUGUAGCGGUGAAAUGCGUAGAUAUCCGGAGGAACACCGGUGGCGAAGGCGGCUUCCUGGACCGACACUGACGCUGAGGCGCGAAAGCUAGGGGAGUAAACGGG